This 378-nucleotide ribosomal RNA is filed under the name uncultured bacterium. Its description in RNAcentral is "bacterial SSU rRNA". It matches the Rfam family "Bacterial small subunit ribosomal RNA", at positions 523 to 898 of the family's 1533-position model. The record is from RNAcentral.
AUACGUAGGGUGCGAGCGUUGUCCGGAAUUACUGGGCGUAAAGAGUUCGUAGGCGGUUUGUCGCGUCGUGUGUGAAAUCCCGCAGCUCAACUGCGGGCUUGCAGGCGAUACGGGCAGACUUGAGUACUGCAGGGGAGACUGGAAUUCCUGGUGUAGCGGUGAAAUGCGCAGAUAUCAGGAGGAACACCGGUGGCGAAGGCGGGUCUCUGGGCAGUAACUGACGCUGAGGAACGAAAGCGUGGGUAGCGAACAGGAUUAGAUACCCUGGUAGUCCACGCCGUAAACGGUGGGCGCUAGGUGUGGGUUUCCUUCCACGGGAUCCGUGCCGUAGCUAACGCAUUAAGCGCCCCGCCUGGGGAGUACGGCCGCAAGGCUAAA